CCCUUAGAUGUUCUGGGCCGCACGCGCGCUACACUGACGGAGGCAGCGAGCUUGUCCUUCGCCGAGAGGUGUGGGGAAUCUUGUGAGUCUCCGUCGUGCUGGGGAUAGAUGGUUGCAAUUGUCGAUCUUGAACGAGGAAUUCCUAGUAAGCGCGAGUCAUCAGCUCGCGCUGAUUACGUCCCUGCCCUUUGUACACACCGCCCGUCGCUACUACCGAUUGGAUGGUUUAGCGAGAACUUUGGACCGGAGCUCGGGUGGUCAGCAAUGGCCGCCCGAGACAUACUGGGAAAUCGCUCCAGCUUGAUCAUCUAGAGGAAGUAAAAGUCGUAACA
This 332-nucleotide ribosomal RNA is filed under the name uncultured eukaryote. Its description in RNAcentral is "partial 18S ribosomal RNA". It matches the Rfam family "Eukaryotic small subunit ribosomal RNA", at positions 1470 to 1796 of the family's 1831-position model. The record is from RNAcentral.